CUAUCUGAAUAUUUAGAUAAAGACCUGAUAAUUGCAGUUGAAGCUCAAUCAAGAUUUUAGAACUUUGGAGAUGAAGUUAAGCUUUAUUUAUCCAGAUUUAGUUCCCAAAGGACUCAAAACUACAGUAAAAUCAGAGACGGGCUGUGUAGAGCCCCUGAGCAUUCCUGUGAGUACCUGGGGGU
RNAcentral lists this long non-coding RNA (182 nucleotides) under Ictidomys tridecemlineatus (thirteen-lined ground squirrel). Its description in RNAcentral is "lncRNA (ENSSTOG00000029755.1)". Lineage: Eukaryota; Metazoa; Chordata; Mammalia; Rodentia; Sciuridae. The record is from RNAcentral.